AUGAGCACCAGGAAGAAGAACAUCCCUAAGUACUCAAAUUUCCAGAGCAUGGAGUUGGAACCCACAGAGGCCGAGGACCAGGAACUCUCUGAAUUGGACUCACUUUACCAGUCUAGUCUGCAGGCUGGCCCGGGUCCUGGCCGAGCCCUGUGUGGUACCAGCUCACCUGCUGUUUUGAGACCAGUACUUCCUGCUGCACGAAAGCUGCUCACUGGAGUCGGACGCUCUCGGACCCCCACGGCUGAACUUGAGAGAACCGCUUAUGGACCACCAGGUUGUUGCAGCCCUACUGGAUAUAUGAACAUGCCCCCGUCAGUGGCCCAUCAAGAGCCUCAGUCAGGAGAGGAAGACCAGUAUGAUGCGGAUCACCUGCGCCGUAUUGCUCGCAGCCUGAGUGGAACGGUCAUUGGCCGUCGCCAGAACCGUCUUGCCGUCUCCCGAAGCUUCGACGUCUCCAGAGGUUCUCCGAGUUUCUGGCUGUGUUUGACCGGCGUCAAGCUCUCUCCAGUGGGAAGCACUACGGUCCAGCAGUGAGGUGUAUUGGAAGACAUCCUCUCUGAAGUUCUCACCCAACCAAUUGGCUUUGGACCAGGUCCUCCAGCCCUGGAACAUUUCCACAGAUGUGUUUGUUCCCUUCUGCACACCUCAUCCCAUUCUCUUCACAGUUUCCUGGAGAACUGAAAGGAGCACGUUCAGAGACCUGAUGCCAUCCUCAAUCACCCUGCACUCUGUAUUGUUCCUGGGAUGAUGCCCGUCUGUUACCCUGCUAUAGUCGGUAAAUCUUUCCAUGCAGAAGCCCCUGAAGCUCGAUCCACAGCAUGACGGAAAGAGACACCAAAACCAACUUUUUUUUUAUUUAUGAGCACUGGGAUGGCGUGAUUCUUUGGGGCUGAGGUGUGUGUGUAUGACUAACCUAUAGUUAGACUUUCAGCAUGCAAUGAUAGGAGCGUGGGGUCCAGAUUUGGACUCCCGCAGUGAGCCAUCCAACCCAGAGCACUUAACUUAAUUAACCCCAACAUUCAAUUAAUUGCAGAGGAGAAGCAUACGGUACCUCCUUGCUGCACUAGACGGUAAAUGUGUGUUUGUGUGUAUGCGUGUGUGCAUGUGUUGGGUGGUAAAAGUGGAGGGGCUUAUUGUAACCCUGCCCUCAUUUAUACUACAGGUCAAAAGUUUGGAAUGAUUAAGAUUUUUUUAUAUAUAUUUUUAAUAAGAUGUCUCAAGUGAUCAAAAAUACAGUAAAAACAGUAAAAUUGUGAAUAUUAUUACAAUUUAAAGCAUUGUUUUUCAUUUGAAUAUAUUUCAAAAGAAAUAUUUAGCAGCUUGACAGUUUUUAACAUUGAUUAUAAUUGUAUCAAUAAAUGUUUCUUGAGCACCAAAUCAGCAUAUUAGAACGAUUUCUGAAGGAUCAUGUGACACUGAAGACUGGAGUAAUGGAAUAAAUUACACUUUAAAAUAUAUCUAAAUAUAA
This 1468-nucleotide long non-coding RNA is filed under the name Sinocyclocheilus grahami. RNAcentral's name for it is "lncRNA (ENSSGRG00000007910.1)". Lineage: Eukaryota; Metazoa; Chordata; Actinopteri; Cypriniformes; Cyprinidae. The record is from RNAcentral.